GCCCGGGUGGUGAAAUGGCAAACACGGCGGACUCAAAAUCCGCUGCCGGCAACGGCUUGUGGGUUCGACCCCCACCCCGGGCA
This 83-nucleotide transfer RNA is filed under the name Gemmatimonadota bacterium. Its description in RNAcentral is "Gemmatimonadetes bacterium (sediment metagenome) tRNA-Leu". It matches the Rfam family "tRNA". From Rfam's summary of the family: Transfer RNA (tRNA) molecules are approximately 80 nucleotides in length. Lineage: Bacteria; Pseudomonadati; Gemmatimonadota. The record is from RNAcentral.